CCUACGGGUGGUAGCAGUGAGGAAUAUUGGUCAAUGGGCGAGAGCCUGAACCAGCCAAGUCGCGUGAGGGAGUACUGCCCUAUGGGUUGUAAACCUCUUUUGUCGGGGAGCAAAAGCCGGACGUGUCCGGCUGUGAGAGUACCCGAAGAAAAAGCAUCGGCUAACUCCGUGCCAGCAGCCGCGGUAAUACGGAGGAUGCGAGCGUUAUCCGGAUUUAUUGGGUUUAAAGGGUGCGUAGGCGGACUGGAAAGUCAGCGGUAAAAUCGAGAGGCUCAACCUCUUUCCGCCGUUGAAACUGUCGGUCUUGAGUGGGCGAGAAGUAUGCGGAAUGCGUGGUGUAGCGGUGAAAUGCAUAGAUAUCACGCAGAACUCCGAUUGCGAAGGCAGCAUACCGGCGCCCGACUGACGCUGAGGCACGAAAGCGUGGGUAUCGAACAGGAUUAGAUACCCGGGUAGUC
Molecule: ribosomal RNA, 458 nt
Filed under: uncultured bacterium
Lineage: Bacteria
Description: partial 16S ribosomal RNA
Rfam family: Bacterial small subunit ribosomal RNA
Source: RNAcentral